GAACCUAGCGGUACUCCGAAUGCAUCCAGAUUAUUAAUUUGAUCAUGGCUCAGGACGACCGCUGGCUUNCGUGCUUAACACAUGCAAGUCGAGCGGAGAAUAUAGCAAUAUAUUCUUAGCGACGGACGGGUGAGUAACGCGUGGGCAACUUGCCUCAUACAGGGGGAUAACACUGGGAAACUAGUGCUAAUACCGCAUAAAAUAGUGAAGUGGCAUCACUUUACUAUCAAAGGAGCAAUCCGGUGUGAGAUGGGCCCGCGUCCGAUUAGCUAGCUUGGAGCGGGUAACGGCCCACCAAGGCGACGAUCGGUAGCCGAACUGACGAGGUUGAUCGGCCACAUUGGGACUGAGACACGGCCCAGACUCCUACGGGAGGCAGCAGUGGGGAAUAUUGCGCAACUGGGGGAAACCCUGACGCAGCAACGCCGCCGUGAACGGAUGAACGUUUUCGCGAUUGUAAACUUCUUUUGAUUGGGGACGAUAAUGACGCGUACCCAAAAAACCAAGCCACGGCUAACUACGUGACAAACAGCCGCG
RNAcentral lists this ribosomal RNA (537 nucleotides) under uncultured bacterium. RNAcentral describes it as "bacterial SSU rRNA". It matches the Rfam family "Bacterial small subunit ribosomal RNA", at positions 1 to 519 of the family's 1533-position model. The record is from RNAcentral.